AGGCAGCAUAGGGAAUUUUCGUCAAUGGGGGCAACCCUGAAACGAGGCCAAUGCCGCGUGAGCGAAGAAGGUCUUCGGAUUGUAAAGCUCUGUUGCCGGGGAAAAAGGAAGGAAAGAGGAAAUGCUUUUCUUUGGAUGGUACCCGGCCAGAAAGUCACGGCUAACUACGUGCC
This 173-nucleotide ribosomal RNA is filed under the name uncultured bacterium. RNAcentral's name for it is "partial 16S ribosomal RNA". It matches the Rfam family "Bacterial small subunit ribosomal RNA", at positions 346 to 509 of the family's 1533-position model. The record is from RNAcentral.